Molecule: unclassified non-coding RNA, 204 nt
Filed under: Deconica xeroderma
Lineage: Eukaryota; Fungi; Basidiomycota; Agaricomycetes; Agaricales; Kuehneromycetaceae
Description: partial internal transcribed spacer 2
Source: RNAcentral
AAUUCUCAACCUCUCUAGUUUUUAUUAACUAGUAGAUGGCUUGGACUUGGAGGUUUUUUGCAGGCUUUCACAAAGUCAGCUCCUCUUAAAUGUAUUAGCCGGUGCCCUCUAACCGUCUAUUGGUGUGAUAAUUAUCUACGCCGUGGACUAUUAGACUUGGUUGCAUUGCUUCUAAUCGUCCUGCAUAGGACAAUAUUAUUGACA